GUGAUGUAGCUCAGCUGGUUAGAGCGCAGGAUUCAUAAUCCUGAGGUCGAGAGUUCAAGUCUCUCCAUCACC
Molecule: transfer RNA, 72 nt
Filed under: marine eukaryotic metagenome
Rfam family: tRNA
About the family: Transfer RNA (tRNA) molecules are approximately 80 nucleotides in length. Their secondary structure includes four short double-helical elements and three loops (D, anti-codon, and T loops).
Source: RNAcentral